UGGGGAAUUUUGCGCAAUGGGGGAAACCCUGACGCAGCAACGCCGCGUGGAGGAUGAAGUCCCUUGGGACGUAAACUCCUUUCGACCGGGACGAUUAUGACGGUACCGGUGGAAGAAGCCCCGGCUAACUUCGUGCCAGCAGCCGCGGUAAUACGAGGGGGGCAAGCGUUGUUCGGAAUUAUUGGGCGUAAAGGGUGCGUAGGCGGCUCGAUAAGUAUGGUGUGAAAUCUCCCGGCUUAACUGGGAGGGUGCGCUAUAGACUGCCGGGCUAGAGUGUGGGAGAGGAAAGUGGAAUUCCUGGUGUAGCGGUGAAAUGCGUAGAUAUCAGGAGGAACACCGGUGGUGUAAACGGCUUUCUGGACCAUAACUGACGCUGAGGCACGAAAGCGUGGGUAGCAAACAGGAUUAGAUACCCUGGUAGUCCACGCCCUAAACGAUGCAUAUUUGGUGUGGGUCAUUCAGUUGAUCCGUGCCGGAGCUAACGCGUUAAAUAUGCCGCCUGGGGAGUACAGUCGCAAGGCUG
RNAcentral lists this ribosomal RNA (523 nucleotides) under uncultured bacterium. Its description in RNAcentral is "bacterial SSU rRNA". It matches the Rfam family "Bacterial small subunit ribosomal RNA", at positions 355 to 896 of the family's 1533-position model. The record is from RNAcentral.